Trichomycterus rosablanca is the source of this 2552-nucleotide long non-coding RNA. RefSeq lists it as uncharacterized. NCBI's taxonomy places the organism in Eukaryota, Metazoa, Chordata, Actinopteri, Siluriformes, Trichomycteridae. The transcript is spliced from 2 exons. The record is from RefSeq and is a predicted model, not a curated record.
AAAGCGAUCGGGGAAACUAAAGAAAACGGAGAAAAACAAAAUACAAACCGGAAUAAAAACAAAACGCUGGGAAACCCUGAAAAUAAAAGGUGGGUUAAGCAUGAAACCUGACACAGAGCUGCUGUCAGGCCCCAACACAGCCAGCUCAUCUUUAUGCUCUCUGGCAAGCUGACAUUUCCACUAAUUGAAUAAAUGGACACUUCGGAGGACCUUUUGCAGUCCAAUAAUGUUGUCCUGUUUAAAGGUCAGCAUGUGACCUUAAGCUACAUUCUAAUUUGAAGCUGCUGGUGAUCCUCUGACUGGAUUAAACACUGUGUCAGUUUGUUAGGUGUCCUUGUGACAAACAUUUGCUUCCAUUAGGUCAACAAACAAUGUAAAACAUGAUCUAAACAUGAAUUAAAAUCCUCUCCUCUAUCACUGUGUAGGGGCAUCGACCAGCCAGCAGAGGCCACAAUUGCAGCAGUAAUGAAAAAUCUUUUUGACUCUCCCACCCACCAGACGUAGCCAGUCGUGUCAGCUGAUAUUUGAACUGUGAUCUCAGUGAUUUGAUAUUAGCCAGAUGCACCACUAUAGUACCCAAAACAACUACAUUUCAAAUAAGUUUGUAAAUGUAAUAGAUUUAAAACAACAGCAUGUAUUGCAGAAUUCUGGAAAAGCAUUGGACAGUUGGGAUAGACAAGAUGUUUAUUCACCUAGUUUAGCACUUCCAUCUAUGGUUAGAUGUGGCUCAUAUUGUUUAAUCUAUGCUGUCCAAAAAUUAUUUGACAAUAUUUAAAAACAUGUUUUUUUUUUUUUUAGUUUAGCCAGGAGCUUAGGAUGAACCCAUGAAAACUUAAAGGCUUUUACUUGCCCACAUUUAAUGCUCCUCUCCUCCUGUAGGUUUUUCCACUAGAGUUUGGAGUAUGACUGCAAGUAUUCACUUCAGUUCUUCAGCUCUUCUAAUAAAUGUUCAACCCAUUUCUGUCCAUCAGACUUCCACAUGCAUGGUUUUAUGCACUAGUUAGAUAACCAAUCUACAAUGUUGCUUAAUUUUUACCCAUUUGCAUUUUAAGUCCAGUCUGGGAGUCUUAUAGUCAAUAUAGAAUAUACGGCCAUAAGUAUGACACCCAACCUUGUGCUUGUAGGACGACGUUUCAUUCCAAAAACGUGAGCAUUAAUAUGAAUUUGUCCCUUUUUAUCAUUAACAACCUCAACUCUUUUUUAAGCAUUUUCCUUCCUAUUUAGUUGUAUCCAAUUACCCGAUCGCAUUACCCGACCUCCACUCCUGACUGAGGAGAGACGUGACUAACACAUGCCCCCUCCUAAACAUCGUGCAUUGAUAUCCAUUAUCCCCCGUCUCAGUGCAGGCACCAUCAAUCAGCCAGCAAAGGUUAUAAUUGCUGAGAAAUCAUACCCAUGGACAAGCCAAUCAUUGUCCAUAUACAGGCCCAGCUUGCCGAUAGCAGAGUAGAGAUUCAAACUCACGAGUUUGACAUAUCAGUUCUAGUGUGCACCAUAACAGCUUCAACUCAGCUUGGAAGGUUUUGCAUUGUGUGUUUGGGAAUUUUCAACCAUCAGGUCAAAAGAACAUUUGUGAAGUCAGUCAGACACUGAUAAUCUACAUUCCAAUUCAUCCCAAUGACAUUUUUAAGUAUUUUUUUUUUAACCUGCAACAGGUGCAACAGAUUCCAUAAGAUUUUCUUAUGGAAUCAAGGUGUUACUGGACAGUUAGGCAUGUAGGACAAAAUAGGAUCGAUUCUACUUUUUUACUGGCAAAUUUUAACAAAAGUUGCAAUUUUGUAGUCCCUAUGUGAUCUUACACCGUCUGGCCCAUAGUACCUGGGUUGUAUCAGUACUAGGUGAUGCUGUGUGUUCCACCCCGGUGGGAAUCAGACGACGCUGUGUGAUACCGUCUGCCCCAUAGUACCUGUGUUGUGUCAGUACUAGGUGAUGCUGUGUGUUCCACCCCGGUGGGAAUCAGACAACGCUGUGUGAUACCGUCUGGCCCAUAGUACUAGAAAAGGUGAUGCUGUGUGUUCCACCUGACCCGUAGUUUAAGGAUAAACAGUAAAGACGUCUGGGACGCCUGUCUAUGUAAGACAGAGAUAUCACCAUGGAUGAAAUCGCUAUAUGAGCGUCAUUGUGUGGCAGUAGAACUGGAACACUGUUCUAUUGGUGACGACCGGUAGUAUAAGUUACUUUGUCUGCUGUCAGUCUGUGGGAUAGUGUUAGUAUUUAGUAUUGUAAUUUGCCUGUUAAUAUAUACAAAUAAUCCCUUAUAAUAACGUGUAUCUCUCUUGUUUUAAUUUCAUAUUCUCUAAAUUGUAGGGUAUAUUUUACUAUAUUUUCUUUUAAUGUUUCAUGUUCUUAAUUUUUUAUCUCUUUUGUUUGAAUUUCAUGUUGUCUUAAUUGUAACUAAAUGUUUGCAAGAAGUCUUUCUGAGGUUCUAGAUCUCAGGAAUGUUUUAAUGCUUUUAAUAAAAAAUUUUUUCCUUAUGUAAAGCACUUUGAAUUGCCACUGUGUAUGAAAGGUGCUAUACAAAUAAACUUGCCUUGCCUUGCACUACCACAAAA